GGGCCAGUGGCGCAACGGAUAAUGCGCCUGACUACGGAUUUGGAGAAUCCAGGUUCGAAUACUGGCUGGCUUG
Trichonephila inaurata madagascariensis is the source of this 73-nucleotide non-coding RNA. The record is from the annotation of a GenBank genome assembly. NCBI's taxonomy places the organism in Eukaryota, Metazoa, Arthropoda, Arachnida, Araneae, Nephilidae.